GUGGGGAAUCUUGCACAAUGGGGGAAACCCUGAUGCAGCGACGCCGCGUGAGCGAUGAAGCCCUUCGGGGUGUAAAGCUCUUUCGGCUGGAACGAUAAUGACGGUACCAGCAGAAGAAGCUGCGGCUAACUACGUGCCAGCAGCCGCGGUAAUACGUAGGCAGCAAGCGUUGUUCGGAGUUACUGGGCGUAAAGAGUGCGUAGGCGGUUGCUUAAGUUUGGUGUGAAAUCUCCCGGCUCAACUGGGAGGGUGCGCCGAAAACUGGGCAGCUUGAGUGUCGGAGAGGUAUGCGGAAUUCCUGGUGUAGCGGUGAAAUGCGUAGAUAUCAGGAGGAACACCUGUGGUGUAGACAGCAUACUGGACGAUAACUGACGCUGAGGCACGAAAGCGUGGGUAGCAAA
RNAcentral lists this ribosomal RNA (401 nucleotides) under uncultured bacterium. RNAcentral's name for it is "bacterial SSU rRNA". It matches the Rfam family "Bacterial small subunit ribosomal RNA", at positions 354 to 772 of the family's 1533-position model. The record is from RNAcentral.